RNAcentral lists this ribosomal RNA (433 nucleotides) under uncultured bacterium. RNAcentral describes it as "partial 16S ribosomal RNA". It matches the Rfam family "Bacterial small subunit ribosomal RNA", at positions 29 to 507 of the family's 1533-position model. The record is from RNAcentral.
AACGAACGCUGGCGGCAUGCCUAACACAUGCAAGUCGAACGAGACCUUCGGGUCUAGUGGCGCACGGGUGCGUAACGCGUGGGAACCUGCCCUUAGGUUCGGAAUAACUCCCCGAAAGGGGUGCUAAUACCGGAUAAUGUCUUCGGACCAAAGAUUUAUCGCCUUUGGAUGGGCCCGCGUUGGAUUAGCUAGUUGGUAGGGUAAAAGCCUACCAAGGCGACGAUCCAUAGCUGGUCUGAGAGAAUGAUCAGCCACACUGGGACUGAGACACGGCCCAGACUCCUACGGGAGGCAGCAGUGGGGAAUCUUGGACAAUGGGCGGAAGGAUGAUCCAGCAAUGCCGCGUGAGUGAUGAAGGCCUUAGGGUUGUAAAGCUCUUUUACCCGGGAUGAUAAUGACAGUACCGGGAGAAUAAGCUCCGGCUAACUCCGUG